This 409-nucleotide ribosomal RNA is filed under the name Fusobacteriota bacterium. RNAcentral's name for it is "Fusobacteria bacterium partial 16S ribosomal RNA". It matches the Rfam family "Bacterial small subunit ribosomal RNA", at positions 355 to 776 of the family's 1533-position model. The record is from RNAcentral. Lineage: Bacteria; Fusobacteriati; Fusobacteriota.
UGGGGAAUAUUGCACAAUGGAGGGAACUCUGAUGCAGCAACGCCGCGUGCGGGAUGACGACCUUCGGGUUGUAAACCGCUUUCAGCCAUGACGAAGCUUUUGUGACGGUAGUGGUAGAAGAAGCACCGGCUAACUACGUGCCAGCAGCCGCGGUGAUACGUAGGGUGCGAGCGUUGUCCGGAAUUAUUGGGCGUAAAGAGCUUGUAGGCGGUUUGUCGCGUCGAUAGUGUAAACACGCAGCUUAACUGUGUGCCUGCUGUCGAUACGGGCUGACUAGAGGAGGGUAGGGGAGAAUGGAAUUCCCGGUGGAGCGGUGGAAUGCGCAGAUAUCGGGAGGAACACCAGUGGCGAAGGCGGUUCUCUGGACCUUUCCUGACGCUGAGAAGCGAAAGCGUGGGUAGCAAACAGG